This 497-nucleotide ribosomal RNA is filed under the name uncultured bacterium. Its description in RNAcentral is "partial 16S ribosomal RNA". It matches the Rfam family "Bacterial small subunit ribosomal RNA", at positions 28 to 507 of the family's 1533-position model. The record is from RNAcentral.
GACGAACGCUGGCGGCGUGCCUAAUACAUGCAAGUAGAACGCUGAAGAGAGGAGCUUGCUCUUCUUGGAUGAGUUGCGAACGGGUGAGUAACGCGUAGGUAACCUGCCUUGUAGCGGGGGAUAACUAUUGGAAACGAUAGCUAAUACCGCAUAACAAUGGAUGACACAUGUCAUUUAUUUGAAAGGGGCAAUUGCUCCACUACAAGAUGGACCUGCGUUGUAUUAGCUAGUAGGUGAGGUAAUGGCUCACCUAGGCGACGAUACAUAGCCGACCUGAGAGGGUGAUCGGCCACACUGGGACUGAGACACGGCCCAGACUCCUACGGGAGGCAGCAGUAGGGAAUCUUCGGCAAUGGGGGCAACCCUGACCGAGCAACGCCGCGUGAGUGAAGAAGGUUUUCGGAUCGUAAAGCUCUGUUGUAAGUCAAGAGCGGGUGUGAGAGUGGAAAGUUCACACUGUGACGGUAGCUUACCAGAAAGGGACGGCUAACUACGUG